UCACGUUUAGCUCAAAGGUAGAGCGUCUUAUUACGAAUGAGAUGGUUAUUUGUUCAAAUCAAAUAACGUGAU
This is a transfer RNA of Dactylellina haptotyla CBS 200.50, 72 nucleotides long. It matches the Rfam family "tRNA". Rfam says of the family: Transfer RNA (tRNA) molecules are approximately 80 nucleotides in length. Their secondary structure includes four short double-helical elements and three loops (D, anti-codon, and T loops). Further hydrogen bonds mediate the characteristic L-shaped molecular structure. tRNAs have two regions of fundamental functional importance: the anti-codon, which is responsible for specific mRNA codon recognition, and the 3' end, to which the tRNAs corresponding amino acid is attached (by aminoacyl-tRNA synthetases). tRNAs cope with the degeneracy of the genetic code in two manners: having more than one tRNA (with a specific anti-codon) for a particular amino acid; and 'wobble' base-pairing, i.e. permitting non-standard base-pairing at the 3rd anti-codon position. The record is from Rfam. NCBI's taxonomy places the organism in Eukaryota, Fungi, Ascomycota, Orbiliomycetes, Orbiliales, Orbiliaceae.